RNAcentral lists this ribosomal RNA (309 nucleotides) under uncultured bacterium. RNAcentral's name for it is "partial 16S ribosomal RNA". It matches the Rfam family "Bacterial small subunit ribosomal RNA", at positions 504 to 808 of the family's 1533-position model. The record is from RNAcentral.
AGAGACAGCAGUAGCCGCGGUAAUACGUAGGUCCCGAGCGUUGUCCGGAUUCAUUGGGCGUAAAGCGAGCGCAGGCGGUUUAGUAAGUCUGAAGUUAAAGGCAUUGGCUCAACCAAUGUAUGCUUUGGAAACUGUUAGACUUGAGUGCAGAAGGGGAGAGUGGAAUUCCAUGUGUAGCGGUGAAAUGCGUAGAUAUAUGGAGGAACACCGGUGGCGAAAGCGGCUCUCUGGUCUGUCACUGACGCUGAGGCUCGAAAGCGUGGGUAGCGAACAGGAUUAGAUACCCGCGUAGUCCCUGUCUCUUAUACA